AAUAGAUACCCUGGUAGUCCACGCCGUAAACGAUGAGUGCUAGGUGUUGGGGGGGUCCACCCCUCGGUGCCGAAGUUAACACAUUAAGCACUCCGCCUGGGGAGUACGGUCGCAAGACUGAAACUCAAAGGAAUUGACGGGGACCCGCACAAGCAGUGGAGUAUGUGGUUUAAUUCGAAGCAACGCGAAGAACCUUACUAGGUCUUGACAUCCCUCUGAAUCCUCUAGAGAUAGAGGCGGCCUUCGGGACAGAGGAGACAGGUGGUGCAUGGUUGUCGUCAGCUCGUGUCGUGAGAUGUUGGGUUAAGUCCCGCAACGAGCGCAACCCUUGAAUUUAGUUGCCAGCACUUUGGGUGGGCACUCUAGAUUGACUGCCGGUGACAAACCGGAGGAAGGCGGGGAUGACGUCAAAUCAUCAUGCCCCUUAUGACCUGGGCUACACACGUACUACAAUGGCCGGUACAACGGGCAGCGAAGGAGCGAUCCGGAGCCAAUCCUACCAAAGCCGGUCUCAGUUCGGAUUGCAGGCUGCAACUCG
This 538-nucleotide ribosomal RNA is filed under the name uncultured bacterium. Its description in RNAcentral is "bacterial SSU rRNA". It matches the Rfam family "Bacterial small subunit ribosomal RNA", at positions 777 to 1314 of the family's 1533-position model. The record is from RNAcentral.